CUAAGACGGUGUUUACCUUAGCAACGUCUUUGAAAAUAGACAUUCUAAGACGUUGCUGAUGUAAGCACCGUCUAAGAAUGCGUACUUUCAAAGACGGUACUGAUGUAAGCACCGUCUUU
This is a non-coding RNA of Glycine max (soybean), 119 nucleotides long. Lineage: Eukaryota; Viridiplantae; Streptophyta; Magnoliopsida; Fabales; Fabaceae. The record is from Rfam.